CCUACGGGUGGCAGCAGUGGGGGAUAUUGCACAAUGGGGGAAACCCUGAUGCAGCGACGCCGCGUGCGGGAAGAAGUAUUUAGGUAUUUAAAGCUCUAUCAGCAGGGAAGAAACUGACAGUACCUGACCAAGCCGCCCCGGCUAACUACGUGCCAGCAGCCGCGGUAAUACGUAGGGGGCCAGCGGUAUCCGGAUUUACUGGGUGUAAAGGGAGCUUAGACGGUUAUGUAAGUCUGGAGUGAAAGCCCGGGGCCCAACCCCGGGACUGACUUGGAAACUGUGUAACUGGAGUACAGGAGGGGCAGGCGGAAUUCGUGGUGUAGCGGUGAAAUGCGUAGAUAUCAGGAGGAACACCGGCGGCGAAGGCGGCCUGCUGGACUGAAACUGACGUUGAGGCUCGAAAGCGUGGGGAGCAAACAGGAUUAGAUACCCGGGUAGUC
RNAcentral lists this ribosomal RNA (440 nucleotides) under uncultured bacterium. Its description in RNAcentral is "partial 16S ribosomal RNA". It matches the Rfam family "Bacterial small subunit ribosomal RNA", at positions 338 to 795 of the family's 1533-position model. The record is from RNAcentral.